RNAcentral lists this ribosomal RNA (460 nucleotides) under uncultured bacterium. Its description in RNAcentral is "partial 16S ribosomal RNA". It matches the Rfam family "Bacterial small subunit ribosomal RNA", at positions 338 to 795 of the family's 1533-position model. The record is from RNAcentral.
CCUACGGGUGGCAGCAGUGAGGAAUAUUGGUCAAUGGACGAGAGUCUGAACCAGCCAAGUAGCGUGAAGGAUGACUGCCCUAUGGGUUGUAAACUUCUUUUAUAUGGGACUAAAAUGUUCCACGUGUGGGAUUUUGUAUGUACCAUAUGAAUAAGGAUCGGCUAACUCCGUUCCAGCAGCCGCGGUAAUACGGAGGAUCCGAGCGUUAUCCGGAUUUAUUGGGUUUAAAGGGAGCGUAGGUGGAUUGUUAAGUCAGUUGUGAAAGUUUGCGGCUCAACCGUAAAAUUGCAGUUGAAACUGGCAGUCUUGAGUACAGUAGAGGUGGGCGGAAUUCGUGGUGUAGCGGUGAAAUGCUUAGAUAUUACGAAGAACUCCGAUUGCGAAGGCAGUUCACUGGACUGCAACUGACACUGAGGCUCGAAAGUGUGGGUAUCAAACAGGAUUAGAUACCCUUGUAGUC